CAGCAGUAGCCGCGGUAAUACGUAGGUCCCGAGCGUUGUCCGGAUUUAUUGGGCGUAAAGCGAGCGCAGGCGGUUAGAUAAGUCUGAAGUUAAAGGCUGUGGCUUAACCAUAGUACGCUUUGGAAACUGUUUAACUUGAGUGCAAGAGGGGAGAGUGGAAUUCCAUGUGUAGCGGUGAAAUGCGUAGAUAUAUGGAGGAACACCGGUGGCGAAAGCGGCUCUCUGGCUUGUAACUGACGCUGAGGCUCGAAAGCGUGGGGAGCAAACAGGAUUAGAUACCCCCGUAGUCCCUGUCUCUUAUACA
Molecule: ribosomal RNA, 304 nt
Filed under: uncultured bacterium
Lineage: Bacteria
Description: partial 16S ribosomal RNA
Rfam family: Bacterial small subunit ribosomal RNA
Source: RNAcentral